AAAACCCAAUGGGAGGAUCCCCAAAUCAGAUAGCCCAAAGAACGAAAUCCAAUUGAACGAAUCAAGGUGAAUGCCCAAAUAAGGGGCCCAAUAGUGCGGUAACGCUAUCGUCCAAGUUUGCAAGUCGCUCAGAGUCUGAACGAAUAGAGUGGAAUACGGUCGUCCAAAGUCUCGCCCAAAUGUUCAAGUCGCCCAAGGUAUCAACAAACGUAACGCAUUAUGAUGCAGUUAUUGAGGCAGUUGCUAAAGUAACUUUAUCACGUUCCACGACUCGAGGGGUUCAAUCCAAAGCGGUUGAACGAUGCAAGAUAAUG
RNAcentral lists this long non-coding RNA (314 nucleotides) under Olea europaea (common olive). Its description in RNAcentral is "long non-coding RNA (OEUR_LNC008552)". Lineage: Eukaryota; Viridiplantae; Streptophyta; Magnoliopsida; Lamiales; Oleaceae. The record is from RNAcentral.